Molecule: transfer RNA, 74 nt
Filed under: Sarcina sp.
Lineage: Bacteria; Bacillati; Bacillota; Clostridia; Eubacteriales; Clostridiaceae
Description: tRNA-Leu
Rfam family: tRNA
About the family: Transfer RNA (tRNA) molecules are approximately 80 nucleotides in length. Their secondary structure includes four short double-helical elements and three loops (D, anti-codon, and T loops). Further hydrogen bonds mediate the characteristic L-shaped molecular structure. tRNAs have two regions of fundamental functional importance: the anti-codon, which is responsible for specific mRNA codon recognition, and the 3' end, to which the tRNAs corresponding amino acid is attached (by aminoacyl-tRNA synthetases). tRNAs cope with the degeneracy of the genetic code in two manners: having more than one tRNA (with a specific anti-codon) for a particular amino acid; and 'wobble' base-pairing, i.e. permitting non-standard base-pairing at the 3rd anti-codon position.
Source: RNAcentral
ACAGGUGUGACGGAACUGGAAUACGUACCCGUCUCAAAAGCGGGGUCCUGAGGGUUCAACUCCCUUCACCUGUA